AACGAACGCUGGCGGCAGGCCUAACACAUGCAAGUCGAGCGCGCCCUUCGGGGUGAGCGGCGGACGGGUGAGUAACGCGUGGGAACGUGCCCUUCUCUGCGGAAUAGCCUCGGGAAACUGAGAGUAAUACCGCAUACGCCCUUUGGGGGAAAGAUUUAUUGGAGAAGGAUCGGCCCGCGUUGGAUUAGGUAGUUGGUGGGGUAAUGGCCCACCAAGCCGACGAUCCAUAGCUGGUUUGAGAGGAUGAUCAGCCACACUGGGACUGAGACACGGCCCAGACUCCUACGGGAGGCAGCAGUGGGGAAUCUUAGACAAUGGGGGCAACCCUGAUCUAGCCAUGCCGCGUGAGUGAUGAAGGCCUUAGGGUUGUAAAGCUCUUUCAGCUGGGAAGAUAAUGACGGUACCAGCAGAAGAAGCCCCGGCUAACUCCGUG
RNAcentral lists this ribosomal RNA (433 nucleotides) under uncultured bacterium. RNAcentral describes it as "partial 16S ribosomal RNA". It matches the Rfam family "Bacterial small subunit ribosomal RNA", at positions 29 to 507 of the family's 1533-position model. The record is from RNAcentral.